This 535-nucleotide long non-coding RNA is filed under the name Daphnia magna. RNAcentral describes it as "uncharacterized LOC116924565, transcript variant X2". Lineage: Eukaryota; Metazoa; Arthropoda; Branchiopoda; Diplostraca; Daphniidae. The record is from RNAcentral.
UUUGCAUUCCGCGCUAUGAAAUAUGGUAACAUUCAUCAUGUCAUCCCCUUAGAGGUUAUUUUAAUUUUUAUUACUCGUUAUUUGAAUUCGAAUAUACUUGUUAUUUGAAUACCUUGCAACUGCCAACUGUUCUAGUGAAUACAAGAAAAAGGUUUAUCAAACAGGAGGCUUUCCAGCAAUUGUGUAGCUAAUAUCCCGAUGGAGUCUUUGAUGAUGCGGGGAAGAGAACAAGGAUGCAGCAAGCACUGAGUGAGAGGUGGAAAACGGAUGUUACACUCCUUUUCUUAUCUCUCAGUGUAAGAGGGAUAGUGUUGUAUACGACCAUCGUUGUGAAAAAAAAAACCCAUUUUUAAGCCAAAGUAAGGCCAAUCCGUACACUUGAUUGGGAGUUGCCAACCCCCGGCCUUUCUAAAACUAUCUCAGUCACAUCAAGAAAUGUGAUGGUUUUGUGAAAGAAAAGAAGAUUCCUCUAUAUCGGCGGCAUCUUACAAUAUUAUUACGUAUAUAAAUGUUGAAUACACAGAUAAUGCCCUUA